Molecule: unclassified non-coding RNA, 1313 nt
Filed under: Hevea brasiliensis (rubber tree)
Lineage: Eukaryota; Viridiplantae; Streptophyta; Magnoliopsida; Malpighiales; Euphorbiaceae
Source: RNAcentral
AUUUUGAACAAGAUGUAGCAACCAGCCAAACAAAGUGUAAAAGACCUAAUGCCAUGCCAAAAAUGGUAUAUCCAUAGUACCUUCUAACAUGAGAACUACAUUCCUCAUAGAAGGGCGCAAAUCAGGGUCAUCAUGAAUGCAUAACAAUCCAACCUUCACCAUCCUCUCCAUGGACUUCACAUCUACUUCCUCAUCUCCCACUAACUUUCUGAUAUCAUUCUCGACAAAGCAUUUAUAUACCCAACUAGGAAGAAAGAUUUCAUCCUCUGUUGAGACGUUAACAUCCAUAUUACUUCUACAGCAUAUGAUCUCCAAGAGCAUUACUCCAUAGCUAUAAACAUCUACCUUAUCGGAGAUCAACACACUAUUCUGCAACUCUGGUGCCGAAUACCCUCUUGUUCCUUUAAGCUGAAGUUGGUUCCCUACUUGAUCAGGCACCAGAAACUUAGAAAGCCCAAAUUCAGAGAUUUUAGCCGUCCAUGAAUCAUCUACUAGGAUAUUGUGUGGCUUUAUGUUGCAGUGAAUAAUGCAAGUCUCACAUUUUUCGUGCAGAUAAAGUAUACCCCUUGAUAUAUCCAAUGCAAGUCUCAUCCUUUGCUCCCAAGAAGGUCUUGUUUCAGAACUGAAUAUAAUAUCUGCGAGUGAUCCGUUGCUCAUGUACUCAUAAACAAGAAGUUUUUUAGAUCCCUCCAAGCAAAACCCUAGCAAAUGAACCAAGUUUUUGUGACGAGCUUGCCCAAUCGCGGUCAUUUCUGCUUUAAAUUCCCUUUCUCCUUCAUCCCCGAUUUUCUCCAAUCGUUUUACAGAAACUGUUCUGUUACCUUCUGAUAGAAUUCCUUUAUAGACGUUUCCAAAUGAACCAUGUCUUUUAUCUUCCUUGAAAUGUUCAGUGGCUUUCUCAAGCUCACUGUAAGAAAAUGAUCGAAGAGUGAACUCCUCGUUUGGCCCCAAAUAUGGAUUUUCCAAUAGCUUUUGGUAUUCGUCGGCUCUGAUUCGGUAGAAAAUAUAACUGAAAAUUGCAACAACAGUGAACAGAAAUGCUACAGAACCAAGAACCAGGGAUAGAAUCAAUAUUAUCUCUUUACUACUUUCAUUUCUGUUCCUUGUUUUUCCAGGAUAGGGAGUGGAGUGACCUGCCAUUUGGGAGAUGUUAUAACUCUGCUUGACAAAGCUCUUGACGGACUCAUCAUUUUGUUCAAGUGUAGAAUCAACGAAUGGAAGCUUAAAUUUGCUGCAAACUCCAUUCAUGUAUUGAGCAGCCCAACAAGUACAAUCACCCAAGCAAGAAUUUCUACAGUCCUGCUCAACCAUUG